ACUGGGUGUGGUGGCGCACGCCUGUAAUCCCAGCUGCUUGGGAGGCUGAGGAUGGAGGAUAGCGAGUUCAAAGCCAGCCUCAAUAACUUAAUGAGGCCCUAAGCAACUCAGCAAGACCCUGUCUCUA
RNAcentral lists this small RNA (127 nucleotides) under Marmota monax (woodchuck). Lineage: Eukaryota; Metazoa; Chordata; Mammalia; Rodentia; Sciuridae. The record is from RNAcentral.